AUACGUAGGGGGCAAGCGUUAUCCGGAAUUAUUGGGCGUAAAGAGGGAGCAGGCGGCAGCAAGGGUCUGUGGUGAAAGCCUGAAGCUUAACUUCAGUAAGCCAUAGAAACCAGGCAGCUAGAGUGCAGGAGAGGAUCGUGGAAUUCCAUGUGUAGCGGUGAAAUGCGUAGAUAUAUGGAGGAACACCAGUGGCGAAGGCGACGAUCUGGCCUGCAACUGACGCUCAGUCCCGAAAGCGUGGGGAGCAAAUAGGAUUAGAUACCCUAGUAGUCCACGCCGUAAACGAUGAGUACUAAGUGUUGGAUGUCAAAGUUCAGUGCUGCAGUUAACGCAAUAAGUACUCCGCCUGAGUAGUACGUUCGCAAGAAUGAAACUCAAAGGAAUUGACGGGG
RNAcentral lists this ribosomal RNA (392 nucleotides) under uncultured bacterium. RNAcentral's name for it is "partial 16S ribosomal RNA". It matches the Rfam family "Bacterial small subunit ribosomal RNA", at positions 523 to 918 of the family's 1533-position model. The record is from RNAcentral.